RNAcentral lists this ribosomal RNA (406 nucleotides) under Bombus brasiliensis. Its description in RNAcentral is "partial 12S small subunit ribosomal RNA". The record is from RNAcentral. Lineage: Eukaryota; Metazoa; Arthropoda; Insecta; Hymenoptera; Apidae.
UAUGUUACGACUUAUUCCAUUUUAAUGAAAUUGACGGGCAAUUUGUACACUUUUCAAAACUAAUUUCAAUUUAAUUAAUUUAUUAAAUUUACUUUUAAAUCCUCUUUCAAAUUAAUAUUAAAAUUAAUUAUCCAAAAAUUUAAUUUAUUAUAACUCAUAAAAUUCUUAAAUAUACUACAUUUUGAUUUGAAUAAUUAUUUAUAUUAAAUAUUAAUAAAAAAUAAUCUUAUAUAAAAAUAAACAACAAUACAUAAGUCUAAUUUAAGUAAAUCUUAUCGUGGAUUAUCAAAUUAAACUACAAGUUUCUCUAAUAAGAAUGAAAAGCCGCCAUAUAAUUUAAUUUUAAUGAUUUAACAUUUACUAAUAAAUUAAUUUUAUUAUCUUAUAUAGUGGGGUAUCUAAUCCC